UUUCCACCUCCAGCCAAUCCCAGAGAAGGCAGGAGCGCACUCCUCCAAUGGGAGCCCGAGAGCGGUCAGUGGCCGUGGAGGCCUGCUACCCCCGCUAGCUCUCCAGCCCGCCGGAGGGACGCUAGAUCCAGCCGCCGGCCCCUUGAAUCUGCUCCCCCUCGGCAGCGGUGGCGCGGAGGGCAGGAGGUGUCUGGUGAGACGGUCAGCGGGUAUCGGAGGAUCGUGCGGGUAGCAAAGGGAUGGCGAGUGCCCCUGCAGCCCCAGACAACAACCAGAACAUGCAUCACUGUUAGAACCAUCACCCUGCAGCUAGCUUGGACACCAUUAAAAGGGCUCAUCAGCUACAAACGGAUAGAAGUGUCUGGUAUUCGUGAAGACAGAGUUUCAGGGCUACCACCUGGAGCUACACCCUCCAGCAACCCCUGCUUGGCCUCCCUGCACCCAGCCCUGCACCAGCCAGUCACAACUUGGGCUGUGUGUGGUGUUUCUUGGCAACUGGGACACAGACUCCUCCAGCAGCUCCACAGCCCCUCUUGUCCUCAGUGAUCAGAAGACUACAGAAGCUGGCUACUGAAGAGGCUGUCCAAGUGAUAGAGCUCCUCCUUGACUCUGCUUAGCACAUUUACCACAGAGCAGUAGCUGAGUGCUGGAUGUUACUCAUUCGUGCUCACUACCUACGGGAACUGUAGAGGGGUUUGUCAGGCCUUGUCUCACAAAGGGCCACCCUGUAAAGAUCUCCACAGGAGGCUGCCCAUAGAGAGAAUUGGCCUGCCUAGGUUCUCCACUGCCUUACGUCCUACGUGGAUGCCUCCAGGGCUGAGGGGAUCCAAUACCUUUUCACCUACCCGUGAUCUACACAUCGACUGGAAAAUUCAGCCUCCUGUUUUUUGUUCUUGUGUUUGUUUUAGGCUAGGAAGAGUUUUACCUACUUCUUUAAUUCCUUUAGUAGCCAGAGGGCUAGUCAGGAUUUGUUUUUUCUUCUUGAGUCAAUUUUGGUAAGUUAUCAAUUUCUAGGAAUUGGUCCAUUUUAUCUGCACUUUCAGAGUUUUUGGCAUAAAGGCCCCCCUUUUAAAGUCCUCUGCUGUGUAUAAUCUGUAACUAUGUCUCCUUUUUCAUUGCUGAUAUUGGUUAUUUGUGCCUUCUCACUUUUUUUCUUGAUCAAUCUCACCAGAGGGUUGUCCAUUUUAUUAGUCUUUUCAAAGAACCAACUUUUGGCCCUGUUACUCCUCUCUAUUGUGUCUUUGUUUUCUAUUUCUUUAAUUUCUGCUCUCAUCUUUUUUGACCUACUUCCGUCCACAUUUUUUGGAUUUAUUCUGUUGUUCUUUUUCUAAUUGCUUAUGUUGGACAUGGAGCUCAUUAUUUUUCAGCCUCUUUUGUUUCAUGGUGUGUGCAUUUAAGGAUGUAGAUUCCAAAUACUACUUUUCUACACAUUCAAACAUGUCCCAUUUCAUUAUUGUUCAGUUCCGAGUACUUCAGCAUUUCCACCAUGGUUACUUCUUUGGUGAGUUAUAUAGAGGUGUGUGUUUCUAAAUUUCUAGAUGUGCGGGCAAUUUUUAAUGUAUCUCUCUGUGAUUGAAAUCUAUCGUAAUUGGAUUGUGGUCUGAGUAUGCAGUCUGUGUGGUAGCAACUCUAAAAUUUAUGAGACUUGUAUUGUGGCUAAGUACAUGAUAAAUAUUUUUGAAUGUUUCCUAUGUGCUUUAUAAGAUGUGUGUUCUCUAAUUGUUGAACACAGAGUUCCACCUAUGUUUAGUAUCAAGUUUGUUAAUUGUAUUAUUCAAAUUUUCUACACUGAUUUUUUGGUUGUGCUAUGCCAAUAAUUGUAAUAGGUGUGCUAAUUUUCAACUAUGAUGGUGGAUUUGUCUGUUUCUCCUUAGAGUUCUUUUUAACAAUUUUUAUAUAUUUUGAGGAUAUUUUAUUAGGAAUAUUCAAAUGAAGAAUUGUUAUACGUUCCUGGUAAAUAUGUAAUGACCCUCUCUAUUCUCAAUAACACAUUUUUGAAGUCUAUCUAAUCACACAACACAAGCUUUUCUUCUUAUUUGGAUUUGUGUGAUGAAGAAUUUUCCAUCCUUUCAUUUUUCAACAUUCUCAUACCCUUAUCCUUGAAUAUCUCUUAAAAAUGACAUAUAGCUGGACCCUUUUAAAAAAAUCUAAUCUGAUGAUCCCUUUUAAUGGGUGAGUUUAGUCUGUUUACAUUUUCUAUGAUAUAUUUGGGCUAGUUUCUAACAUCAUACUUUUUUUAUUUCUAUUUCCUACCACCACCUUUUCUAUGCUUCAUUUUUCUUUUUCUGGCCUGUUUUUUAGUUUGGAGAUUUGUUUAUUUGCUUUCUUAUUCACUUUUUUCCUCUGUACUGUUUGAAAUUUAUUUAUGCAUUCUUUUUUAAAAAAUUCUUUCUGUGGUUAUCCUUGAACUUUUACCAUGCAUGCAUAACUUACAAGGUCUAAAGGAAAUUGUAUUUUAACCUCCCUCUUGAAGAAUGCAGGAAACUUCAUCUCUGAUCAUUCCUCUCUUUGCCACAUGCUAUUGUCUUGAGUAUGUUAGUUUGUUCCUUUUUUUUAACCUCACAGAUUCUGCAUCAUCAUUAGUAUUAUUUUAUAUAGACAGUAUUUUUUUUGGAUUUACAUGCAUACAUUCUUGCAUCUCAGACUAUGAUUCUGGGAUCAUUUUCUUUUAUCAUAAAUACAAUGUUUAGAUGUUCUUUUAGAACAGGUCUCUUGGUGUUAAAUUCUCCCAGUUGUUGUGAUAUGCAAAUGUCUUUAUUUUAUCCUCAUUCUUAAAAGACAAUUUGUUAUAGGUAUUUAGAAGUCUGCUGUCUAAUGGCUAUUUUUGGUAGGUGUUUUUAUUUUCUUAUACUUAAGCUACUUUUAAGAAAUUAUCUCUCACUCUCUCUCAGAGGGGGAUCUGCAGAGGGUAUGCAGUUUCAUUCUAACAUGUUUAGGCAUGUAUUUCUUUUUUAUUCUACUUUAAAAAUGUGCUUCAUGCUUUUGAAUUCAUGUUUUUCAUAAUUUCUAGAAAAUUCUCAGCCAUUAUCUUUUCAAAUAUUGCCUUUCUUCCAUCCUUCCUAUAUUUUCUUUCUCAGAAUCCAGUUAGUCAUAUUUUGAGCCUCAUUGUAUCUUCCAUAUCUCAUAAUGUCUUGUUGAUAUAAUCUAUUUCCUUGUCUUCCUACAUUUCAUUCUAAGCAAUUUCUUCAGAUAUAUCUUUCAAUUUAUGGAUUCUCUCUUCAGCUCUGUCAACUCUGUGUGCUUAAUCUGACUACUGAGUUUUUUAUUUCAGUAAGUAUAUUUUUCACGUGUACAAGCUGCAUAUUUUUCGCUUUCUAAUCUGCCUUGUCAUCCUUCAUAGUCUCUUGUUGCUUGCUCAUCUUUGUGGUUGCAUCUUUCAUUUAAAAAAAAAUUUUAUACUAUUUUGUUCAACCAAUAAUCAUUGUUUGCGUAAGUAUGACAUUAUAAUUAUUGUUCACGUCUAAACCACACAGUACACUCUAAUUAUAGAUCCUUUGUUGUAUGCCUUUUUGUUUUCUUAGUAAUCAUCUUUUUUUCUUUUGCUUAGUAUUACUAAUUCUUUGAAAUUCCUUUUAAAAUCUGUAUCAGUUCAUGUCUCUUUUCUGCUCGAAAUUCUCCCUGCUCCCAGCUCCCCCAGAAUAAAAGUCAAAGCCCUCAUCAUGGCCCAAAAGCCUGCACAGUCUGGUCCCCAUGCUUUUUCUGACCUCCUAUCCUGUUACUCUUCCCAUUUCUCACUUUUUUUCCAGCCACCCCAGCUUCCUGGAUAUUCCUCAAACAUGUCAGGUGCCCUCCCCCUUCAGAGCUUUUGUACUUGCUGUUCUCACUGCCUGCAACACUCUUCUUUCCAGAUAAUGUCAUGAGUUUCCCACCCACUUCCCGUAUGCUCAAAUGUCACCUCCCUAGACAAGCAUUCCCUGACCAAACUAGUCCCAUUCACCAGUGUUUUCUAACCCCAUUAUCCUACUUGAUGUCUUAUGUUUUUGUACGAAGUGAUGAUCACUCCCUGAUAUAUUUUGUAUUUAUUUAUUGUGAUUGGUGUUUGUUGUUUCCCAGUAGACUGUAAGCUCCACAAAGCAGGGACUUUGUUUUGUUCACAACUGUAUCCCCAGUUCCAAGAAGAACAGUGCAUAGUAAUAUUUAGUAGACAUUCAAUAAAUAUUUAUGGAAUAAACUGAAUUAAUUAACUAA
Molecule: long non-coding RNA, 4188 nt
Organism: Canis lupus familiaris (dog)
Lineage: Eukaryota; Metazoa; Chordata; Mammalia; Carnivora; Canidae
Exons: 3
Source: RefSeq, a predicted model, not a curated record